RNAcentral lists this ribosomal RNA (429 nucleotides) under Gemmatimonadota bacterium. RNAcentral's name for it is "Gemmatimonadetes bacterium partial 16S ribosomal RNA". It matches the Rfam family "Bacterial small subunit ribosomal RNA", at positions 355 to 776 of the family's 1533-position model. The record is from RNAcentral. Lineage: Bacteria; Pseudomonadati; Gemmatimonadota.
UAGGGAAUCUUCGGCAAUGGACGAAAGUCUGACCGAGCAACGCCGCGUGAGUGAAGAAGGUUUUCGGAUCGUAAAACUCUGUUGUUAGAGAAGAACAAGGACGUUAGUAACUGAACGUCCCCUGACGGUAUCUAACCAGAAAGCCACGGCUAACUACGUGCCAGCAGCCGCGGUAAUACGUAGGUGGCAAGCGUUGUCCGGAUUUAUUGGGCGUAAAGCGAGCGCAGGCGGUUUCUUAAGUCUGAUGUGAAAGCCCCCGGCUCAACCGGGGAGGGUCAUUGGAAACUGGGAGACUUGAGUGCAGAAGAGGAGAGUGGAAUUCCAUGUGUAGCUGUGAAAUGCGUAGAUAUAUGGAGGAACACCAGUGGCGAAGGCGGCUCUCUGGUCUGUAACUGACACUGAGGCUCGAAAGCGUGGGGAGCAAACAGG